GAACUUUGUCAAAGGCUUUCUGAAGAUGCAAGAACAAUAUCAACUGAAUCACCCUUAUCCACAUGCUUGUUGAUUCUCUCAAAGAAUUCUAAUAGAUUGGUGAGGCAUGACUUCCCUUUAGAAAAGCUGUGUUGAGUCUUCUCCAACAAAGGAUGUUUUUCUAUG
Molecule: long non-coding RNA, 165 nt
Organism: Dermochelys coriacea (leatherback sea turtle)
Lineage: Eukaryota; Metazoa; Chordata; Testudines; Dermochelyidae
Exons: 3
Source: RefSeq, a predicted model, not a curated record